RNAcentral lists this ribosomal RNA (301 nucleotides) under uncultured bacterium. RNAcentral's name for it is "partial 16S ribosomal RNA". It matches the Rfam family "Bacterial small subunit ribosomal RNA", at positions 509 to 807 of the family's 1533-position model. The record is from RNAcentral.
CAGUCGCCGCGGUAAUGCGGAGGGUGCGAGCGUUAAUCGGAAUUACUGGGCGUAAAGCGUACGCAGGCGGUUUGUUAAGUCAGAUGUGAAAUCCCCGGGCUUAACCCGGGAACUGCAUUUGGAACUGGCAGGCUAGAGUCUCGUAGAGGGGGGUAGAAUUCCAGGUGUAGCGGUGAAAUGCGUAGAGAUCUGGAGGAAUACCGGUGGCGAAGGCGGCCCCCUGGACGAAGACUGACGCUCAGGUACGAAAGCGUGGGGAGCAAACAGGAUUAGAUACCCGUGUAGUCCCUGUCUCUUAUAC